GACGAACGCUGGCUGCGUGCUUAACACAUGCAAGUCGAACGCUGAAGCCUGGUGCUUGCACCGGGUGGAUGAGUGGCGAACGGGUGAGUAACACGUGAGUAACCUGCCCCUGACUUCGGGAUAAGCCCGGGAAACUGGGUCUAAUACCGGAUACGACUGCCGGACGCAUGUCUGGUGGUGGAAAGUUUUUUCGGUUGGGGAUGGGCUCGCGGCCUAUCAGUUUGUUGGUGAGGUAAUGGCUCACCAAGACGACGACGGGUAGCCGGCCUGAGAGGGCGACCGGCCACACUGGGACUGAGACACGGCCCAGACUCCUACGGGAGGCAGCAGUGGGGAAUAUUGCACAAUGGGGGAAACCCUGAUGCAGCGACGCAGCGUGCGGGAUGACGGCCUUCGGGUUGUAAACCGCUUUCAGCAGGGAAGAAGCGCAAGUGACGGUACCUGCAGAAGAAGUACCGGCUAACUACGUGCCAGCAGCCGCGGUAAUACGUAGGGUACGAGCGUUGUCCGGAAUUAUUGGGCGUAAAGAGCUCGUAGGUGGUUGGUCACGUCUGCUGUGGAAACGCAACGCUUAACGUUGCGCGUGCAGUGGGUACGGGCUGACUAGAGUGCAGUAGGGGAGUCUGGAAUUCCUGGUGUAGCGGUGAAAUGCGCAGAUAUCAGGAGGAACACCGGUGGCGAAGGCGGGACUCUGGGCUGUAACUGACACUGAGGAGCGAAAGCAUGGGGAGCGAACAGGAUUAGAUACCCUGGUAGUCCAUGCCGUAAACGUUGGGCACUAGGUGUGGGGGGCAUUCCACGUUCUCCGCGCCGUAGCUAACGCAUUAAGUGCCCCGCCUGGGGAGUACGGUCGCAAGGCUAAAACUCAAAGGAAUUGACGGGGGCCCGCACAAGCGGCGGAGCAUGCGGAUUAAUUCGAUGCAACGCGAAGAACCUUACCAAGGCUUGACAUACACCGGACCGUCCUGGAAACAGGUCUUCUUCUUUGAAGCUGGUGUACAGGUGGUGCAUGGUUGUCGUCAGCUCGUGUCGUGAGAUGUUGGGUUAAGUCCCGCAACGAGCGCAACCCUCGUUCUAUGUUGCCAGCACGUGAUGGUGGGAACUCAUAGGAGACUGCCGGGGUCAACUCGGAGGAAGGUGGGGAUGACGUCAAAUCAUCAUGCCCUUUAUGUCUUGGGCUUCACGCAUGCUACAAUGGCUGGUACAGAGAGAGGCGAACCCGUGAGGGCAAGCGAAUCCCUUAAAGCCAGUCUCAGUUCGGAUCGUAGUCUGCAAUUCGACUACGUGAAGUCGGAGUCGCUAGUAAUCGCAGAUCAGCAACGCUGCGGUGAAUACGUUCCCGGGCCU
RNAcentral lists this ribosomal RNA (1347 nucleotides) under uncultured bacterium. RNAcentral's name for it is "bacterial SSU rRNA". It matches the Rfam family "Bacterial small subunit ribosomal RNA", at positions 28 to 1381 of the family's 1533-position model. The record is from RNAcentral.